GACGAACGCUGGCGGCGUGCUUAACACAUGCAAGUCGAACGGAAAGGCCCUGCUUUUGUGGGGUGCUCGAGUGGCGAACGGGUGAGUAACACGUGAGUAACCUGCCCUUGACUUUGGGAUAACUUCAGGAAACUGGGGCUAAUACCGGAUAGGAGCUCCUGCUGCAUGGUGGGGGUUGGAAAGUUUCGGCGGUUGGGGAUGGACUCGCGGCUUAUCAGCUUGUUGGUGGGGUAGUGGCUUACCAAGGCUUUGACGGGUAGCCGGCCUGAGAGGGUGACCGGCCACAUUGGGACUGAGAUACGGCCCAGACUCCUACGGGAGGCAGCAGUGGGGAUUAUUGCACAAUGGGCGGAAGCCUGAUGCAGCAACGCCGCGUGCGGGAUGACGGCCUUCGGGUUGUAAACCGCUUUCGCCUGCGACGAAGCGUGAGUGACGGUAAUGGGUAAAGAAGCACCGGCUAACUACGUG
RNAcentral lists this ribosomal RNA (468 nucleotides) under uncultured bacterium. RNAcentral's name for it is "partial 16S ribosomal RNA". It matches the Rfam family "Bacterial small subunit ribosomal RNA", at positions 28 to 507 of the family's 1533-position model. The record is from RNAcentral.